RNAcentral lists this long non-coding RNA (266 nucleotides) under Phaseolus vulgaris (common bean). Its description in RNAcentral is "long non-coding RNA (PVUL_LNC003399)". The record is from RNAcentral. Lineage: Eukaryota; Viridiplantae; Streptophyta; Magnoliopsida; Fabales; Fabaceae.
GAACAAUUUCUUGUGCAAUUUGUGAUAGGAUUCCAUACACCUUUGAGUUGCUGUUUUCUUUUAGGCUUUUGAGUCUUUAUUGCUUUCUUAUUUGGUUCAUAUUAUGCUUUUGAGUCUUUAAUUUCUGAAUCCAUAUAUGUUUUGUCAAGUCAUGUUCAUCCACAAUGUCAACAAUUCUUAGUAGUCCUUUAUUUGGCUUGAUUGUUUCUUGAUUUUGGGUAUCUUUAUUUGCUUUGAAUCUGCUGUUCUUUGAUCUUUUGGUGCCU